Molecule: long non-coding RNA, 585 nt
Organism: Homo sapiens (human)
Lineage: Eukaryota; Metazoa; Chordata; Mammalia; Primates; Hominidae
Product: long intergenic non-protein coding RNA 861
Source: Ensembl
AAGAAUUCCCUCCCACCCCCAGAUUUUCGCAGGGUUUUGUUGAUUUCCCCUCAACUUUCCACAGGUAUCCCACUUCUAAGAUGCCUGAUCUGAAGGACAGUAAAACAACUGACCUUUGCCAGCAUGUAAAACACAUGGUUUAACUAGUCCUCCAGGAACAACACUGAGCAAUCCUGACCUGGGACUACUUUACUCGGCCAUCUCCUACUUGAGAUGCUCCUUGUCUCUCUGUUCAAGGACACCUUUUCUGAGCCUUUCUUGAACAAGAGUGGAGGACCGAUAGGGCGAUUAAACUGUCCUUGACACAACUUUAGAGCUUCAACUGAGAAUCUAGAAGAGAGUAGAUGGAAAAAUAUUUUUCCCUCCCCUCCAAAUGCAAGGAUAAUCUUACACGAGUCCAGGAGGAAGGCUCAUUCCACACUAAGUGUUCUGAAUCAAAAAGAUGAACAAAAUACAGUGCCAUUCUUCAAGGACUUCACAGUCUACAGGAAAGGGAUAUAGUUAAACAAAUAACUGCAGAAUUGGAAAUUGGAGCUGAUGUGCUUAGAAGUGUUUUGAACAAGGGGCAUGACUGUGACUCUCUCU